AGAUCUGAGAAGACAGCAGAGGAUGUCGGACCCACAGACGCACAUACUGGCAUGGUAUUCUUUACCCUCUCUUGUCUUGGUGACUCCCUAUGGAAUGCUGUGGGAAGAACUCAGUUCCCCAAGUUCCACUGACCUCAGCGGCAAAGAUGUUUGAAUUGAUUCUAGUUAAAAACCAUAAUUGAGGAUGGCACAGAUCCUGUAGUAAUGAUAUGAAUUUUCUGUCAAGAUAUGACUCUUCUGUCAGGUGUAUAGUUGUUUCUUCCUCCAGGUUCCUGCCUUGGAUUCCUUGGACUGUAAACUGUUACUCAAUAAAUUCUUCCAUCCUCCAACUUACUUUGGGCCUGUCCACUCAUUCUGAUACUGAGAGAGAUCAGUAAUAAACAGUAAGGGAAGAUGUUUAAUGAAUGUGUUGGAAAGAAGAACAAAUUAAGGGAUCCAGUGACCCCAAGAUCAUCUUCAAGCAGUUGGCAACCUGAUACUGGUGUUUGUGUGGGUCCCUCCAGAAUGUUUGAAAUUCCCACUCCUAAUUUGGUAUAUGGGACCUCCUCAGACACCCGAACCACAAGUGCUUUGAUCUCAGAAUUUCUGGAACCCAGAACUAUAAGAAAUCAGUUCCUGCCAUUUGUGAGGCGCCUGGGCUGCAGCUGGUGUGACAAAUUCAAUGGAUGAAGAUAGUUUUCAUUAUCAACUUGAUGGAUUGACUUUCAUAGCCAUUCUCAGAAGUCUGUAGUCAUAUCAUACUGUAGUUUUAAUGACUGAUGAUUUCUUUCUCCAUUCCUUCCAAUUUCCAUGUUCCAAAACAUCCUUUCUUUCCACACUCUCUAUUUAUCAAUUAGAUUUUCUUACAUUUGAGCUCAAAGAUUUUUUAAAAAAACAAUGUAGAACAAAAUGCCAAUGCUCUUGGGACCUUCCUUUGAACUUUAACCUCCUACUGCCAUGUUAUUGUACCAUGUUUUUCUAUUUUCUGAAGUGAUUUCUAAUUAUCUGAUUCUGAUUUGGUGGUUAUUUAUGAUGCUGAACAUCACUUAACAAAAGACUAAAAAAAUACUAAUCACUGCAUUUUAUACUCUCAGGGUUUGGUUGACUAGAUAGAUACUUCUUUGGUUUGUUGACAGUUAAGCAGUUCUUCUUUGAAGUACAGAGCCACAAGGUGGAGAGUACACAGUCAGAGCUCUGUUUAGGUCCCUUGCUCACACGUUCUCCAUAUGAGCUUCACAUCAGGGUGACUGUAAAAGCACAGGGAGCCUCAUCUUUAAAGAUACUGAUGCAAGAGACUUGAGGAAGAGACUGAGCAGCAUUGAAGUCUCCCAGGCAUCCCAGUGUGCCUCAAAAACAAACAAAACCACUCUAAUUAUGUAAUGUCUUUCAUGGGCUUCCAGUCUCAGCAGCAUAUUCUUAUCUUAUGAAGCACAAAUAUGAAAACACCAACAAAUUGCACUGCCCGCCAUUAUCAUUGCUUUGUUAAAAUAUAUUUUGUCAUCCUAACAUAAAAUUAAAUAAUUAAGGAAUAAAAUUAUGAACUCAAUAAAUUCAGUUUU
Molecule: long non-coding RNA, 1538 nt
Organism: Mus musculus (house mouse)
Lineage: Eukaryota; Metazoa; Chordata; Mammalia; Rodentia; Muridae
Product: RIKEN cDNA A530046M15 gene
Exons: 5
Source: RefSeq, marked validated